CCCAACUAUCCCUAUUAAUCAUUACAUCGAUCCUAGAAACCAACAAAAUAGAAUGCGAUGUCCUAUUUCAUUAUUCCAUGCUAAUGUAUUCAAGCGUUAGCCUGCUUUAAACACUCUAAUUUUUUCAAGGUAACAGUCCUAAUUCCCCAAGACACCAAAUUAAUGACAUCAAGGUUCUUCAGAAGGUAGAAACCAAUAAUACCAGUACGUACCGAGGCACGACCGACAAAUUGAUCCCGAAAUUCAACUACGAGCUUUUUAACUGCAACAACUUUAAUAUACGCUAUUGGAGCUGGAAUUACCGCGGCUGCUGGCACCAGACUUGCCCUCCAA
Molecule: unclassified non-coding RNA, 333 nt
Filed under: uncultured Glomeraceae
Lineage: Eukaryota; Fungi; Glomeromycota; Glomeromycetes; Glomerales; Glomeraceae
Description: sequence contains 18S rRNA gene
Source: RNAcentral